GGGCCGCUAGCUCAAUUGGGAGAGCAAGAGACUCUUAAUCUCUAGGUUCCAGGUUCGAGUCCUGGGCGGCUCA
RNAcentral lists this transfer RNA (73 nucleotides) under Actinomycetota bacterium. RNAcentral's name for it is "tRNA-Lys". It matches the Rfam family "tRNA". Rfam says of the family: Transfer RNA (tRNA) molecules are approximately 80 nucleotides in length. Their secondary structure includes four short double-helical elements and three loops (D, anti-codon, and T loops). The record is from RNAcentral. Lineage: Bacteria; Bacillati; Actinomycetota.